Molecule: ribosomal RNA, 346 nt
Filed under: uncultured bacterium
Lineage: Bacteria
Description: partial 16S ribosomal RNA
Rfam family: Bacterial small subunit ribosomal RNA
Source: RNAcentral
CCUACGGGGGGCAGCAGUAGGGAAUAUUGCUCAAUGGGGGAAACCCUGAAGCAGCAACGCCGCGUGGAGGAUGAAGGUUUUCGGAUUGUAAACUCCUUUUGUUAGAGAAGAGAAUGACGGUAUCUAACGAAUAAGCACCGGCUAACUCCGUGCCAGCAGCCGCGGUAAUACGGAGGGUGCAAGCGUUACUCGGAAUCACUGGGCGUAACGAGAGCGUAGGCGGGAUAGCAAGUCAGAUGUGAAAUCCUAUGGCUUAACCAUAGACCUGCAUUUGAAACUGUUAUUCUAGAGUAUGGGAGCGGUCGGUCGCCUUCUUGGUGUCGGGGUCACCUCCGUAGAGAUCCAG